ACCUACGGGGGGCUGCAGUGAGGGAUCUUCGGCAAUGGGGGAAACCCUGACCGAGCAACGCCGCGUGCGGGACGACGGCCUUCGGGUUGUAAACCGCUUUUCUGUGGGACGAGAAUGGACGGUACCACAGGAAGAAGUCUCGGCUAACUACGUGCCAGCAGCCGCGGUAAUACGUAGGAGACGAGCGUUGUCCGGAGUUACUGGGCGUAAAGGGUGCGCAGGCGGCCGCACGCGUCGCGAGUGAAAUCUCCCGGCUCAACUGGGAGGGUGGUCGCGAGACGGUGUGGCUUGAGGCUCGGAGAGGGGCGUGGAAUUCCGGGUGGAGCGGUGAAAUGCGUAGAGAUCCGGAGGAACACCGACGGCGAAGGCAGCGCCCUGGACGAGACCUGACGCUCAGGCACGAAAGCUCGGGGAGCGAACAGGAUUAGAUA
This 431-nucleotide ribosomal RNA is filed under the name Enterobacter cloacae complex sp. 4DZ3-17B2. Its description in RNAcentral is "bacterial SSU rRNA". It matches the Rfam family "Bacterial small subunit ribosomal RNA", at positions 337 to 784 of the family's 1533-position model. The record is from RNAcentral. Lineage: Bacteria; Pseudomonadati; Pseudomonadota; Gammaproteobacteria; Enterobacterales; Enterobacteriaceae.